RNAcentral lists this ribosomal RNA (433 nucleotides) under uncultured bacterium. RNAcentral describes it as "partial 16S ribosomal RNA". It matches the Rfam family "Bacterial small subunit ribosomal RNA", at positions 29 to 507 of the family's 1533-position model. The record is from RNAcentral.
AACGAACGCUGGCGGCAUGCCUAGCACAUGCAAGUCGAACGAGACCUUCGGGUCUAGUGGCGCACGGGUGCGUAACGCGUGGGAACCUGCCCUUAGGUUCGGAAUAACUCCCCGAAAGGGGUGCUAAUACCGGAUAAUGUCUUCGGACCAAAGAUUUAUCGCCUUUGGAUGGGCCCGCGUUGGAUUAGCUAGUUGGUAGGGUAAAAGCAUACCAAGGCGACGAUCCAUAGCUGGUCUGAGAGGAUGAUCAGCCACACUGGGACUGAGACACGGCCCAGACUCCUACGGAAGGCAGCAGUGGGGAAUAUUGAAAAAUGGGCGAAAUCCUGAUCCAGCAAUGCCGCGUGAGUGAUGAAGGCAUUAGGGUUGUAAAGCUCUUUUACCCGGGAUGAUAAUGACAGUACCGGGAGAAUAAGAUCCGGCUAACUCCGUG